Molecule: ribosomal RNA, 253 nt
Filed under: uncultured bacterium
Lineage: Bacteria
Description: partial 16S ribosomal RNA
Rfam family: Bacterial small subunit ribosomal RNA
Source: RNAcentral
UACGUAGGGGGCGAGCGUUGUCCGGAAUUAUUGGGCGUAAAGGGCGUGUAGGCGGCUUCUUAAGUCCGGUGUGAAAGCCCGCGGCUCAACCGUGGAGGGUCACUGGAAACUGGGGGGCUUGAGAGCAGGAGAGGAGAGCGGAAUUCCACGUGUAGCGGUGAAAUGCGUAGAGAUGUGGAGGAACACCAGUGGCGAAGGCGGCUCUCUGGCCUGGCUCUGACGCUGAGGCGCGAAAGCGUGGGGAGCAAACAGG